UCCUGUGCUCAACUGCUUCCUUUACAAUCACACCAUCAUCUCCAGUUCUUUCUGGGUCAGUGCACGGGAAUCCAGAACUCCAGUGCCAUUUCAGUGUGCUCGAUGAAAUGCAGGUGAAAUGCAAGCAGAGUUAUGCGCUCAUUUAGUUCAAGCAUGGGCAUGGCAUUUGGCAUCUCCACCAUGCAGUUAGUUUCGACGACAGCUAACAAACUGGCACUAGUUAGCAAUGAGAGCUGGGGACGGGUUGAUGGAUU
Molecule: long non-coding RNA, 254 nt
Filed under: Setaria italica (foxtail millet)
Lineage: Eukaryota; Viridiplantae; Streptophyta; Magnoliopsida; Poales; Poaceae
Description: long non-coding RNA (SITA_LNC003223)
Source: RNAcentral